Molecule: ribosomal RNA, 430 nt
Filed under: uncultured Arthrobacter sp.
Lineage: Bacteria; Bacillati; Actinomycetota; Actinomycetes; Micrococcales; Micrococcaceae
Description: bacterial SSU rRNA
Rfam family: Bacterial small subunit ribosomal RNA
Source: RNAcentral
GGAAUAUUGCACAAUGGGCGCAAGCCUGAUGCAGCGACGCCGCGUGAGGGAUGAAGGCCUUCGGGUUGUAAACCUCUUUCAGUAGGGAAGAAGCUGGCUUUCGGGUUGGUGACGGUACCUGCAGAAGAAGCGCCGGCUAACUACGUGCCAGCAGCCGCGGUAAUACGUAGGGCGCAAGCGUUAUCCGGAAUUAUUGGGCGUAAAGAGCUCGUAGGCGGUUUGUCGCGUCUGCCGUGAAAGUCCGGGGCUUAACCCCGGAUCUGCGGUGGGUACGGGCAGACUAGAGUGCAGUAGGGGAGACUGGAAUUCCUGGUGUAGCGGUGAAAUGCGCAGAUAUCAGGAGGAACACCGAUGGCGAAGGCAGGUCUCUGGGCUGUAACUGACGCUGAGGAGCGAAAGCAUGGGGAGCGAACAGGAUUAGAUACCCGAG